AUUGAACGCUGGCGGCAUGCCUUACACAUGCAAGUCGAACGGUAACAGGUUAAGCUGACGAGUGGCGAACGGGUGAGUAAUGUAUCGGAACGUGCCCAGUCGUGGGGGAUAACGUAGCGAAAGCUACGCUAAUACCGCAUACGAUCUACGGAUGAAAGCGGGGGAUCGCAAGACCUCGCGCGAUUGGAGCGGCCGAUAACCGAUUAAGUUGUUGGUGAGGUAAAAGCUAACCAAGCCUGCGACCUGGAGCCGGUCUGAGAGGACGACUAGCCACACGGGAACUCAGACACGGUCCAGACUCCGACGUGAGGCAGCAGUGGGGAAGUUUGGACAAUGGACGCAAGUCUGAUCCAGCAAUGCCGCGUGCAGGACGAAGGCCUUCGGGUUGUAAACUGCUUUUGUACGGAACGAAACGGUGAGCUCUAAUACAGUUUGCUAAUGACGGUACCGUAAGAAUAAGCACCGGCUAACUACGUGCCAGCCGCCGCGGUAA
Molecule: ribosomal RNA, 493 nt
Filed under: uncultured bacterium
Lineage: Bacteria
Description: partial 16S ribosomal RNA
Rfam family: Bacterial small subunit ribosomal RNA
Source: RNAcentral